AUCCUUUGGUUUAUGAGUGUGAUGAUUGGGUGUUCACACUAUUGUGUGAGAUGUGCCUCCCUCUAAAUCUUGUUACAACGUCGACACAUUACCCAUCUGACA
Sciurus vulgaris (Eurasian red squirrel) is the source of this 102-nucleotide small nucleolar RNA. The record is from Ensembl. NCBI's taxonomy places the organism in Eukaryota, Metazoa, Chordata, Mammalia, Rodentia, Sciuridae.